Molecule: unclassified non-coding RNA, 269 nt
Filed under: Hevea brasiliensis (rubber tree)
Lineage: Eukaryota; Viridiplantae; Streptophyta; Magnoliopsida; Malpighiales; Euphorbiaceae
Source: RNAcentral
AGUAUCAUGGGUCCCACCAACUUGCACUUUCAUUGGGCGGGAUAAAUUCCCUUAAGCAACUUCACGUUGCAUGGGCUGGACUAGCCAUGCAAAUUGGCCUCACGCCCCCACUUGCCUUGAUGCUCUCUCGCCACCUAGCAACCCCAUGCAACCAAUGUCCCAUGUGAUGGCCAUUUAGUGCGCCUCACAUGCUUCCCACUUUCACACUUGGGUCCUCACGUCCAUGCAUGGUUCCUCUUCACGUUGCAUGUUUUCUUGGCCACUUUGGG